AUUGAACGCUGGCGGCAUGCCUUACACAUGCAAGUCGAACGGUAACAGGUCUUCGGAUGCUGACGAGUGGCGAACGGGUGAGUAAUACAUCGGAACGUGCCCGAUCGUGGGGGAUAACGAAGCGAAAGCUUUGCUAAUACCGCAUACGAUCUACGGAUGAAAGCAGGGGACCGCAAGGCCUUGCGCGAACGGAGCGGCCGAUGGCAGAUUAGGUAGUUGGUGGGAUAAAAGCUUACCAAGCCGACGAUCUGUAGCUGGUCUGAGAGGACGACCAGCCACACUGGAACUGAGACACGGCCCAGACUCCUACGGGAGGCAGCAGUGGGGAAUUUUGGACAAUGGGCGAAAGCCUGAUCCAGCCAUGCCGCGUGCAGGAUGAAGGCCUUCGGGUUGUAAACUGCUUUUGUACGGAACGAAAAGACUCUGGUUAAUACCUGGGGUCCAUGACGGUACCGUAAGAAUAAGCACCGGCUAACUACGUG
This 482-nucleotide ribosomal RNA is filed under the name uncultured bacterium. Its description in RNAcentral is "partial 16S ribosomal RNA". It matches the Rfam family "Bacterial small subunit ribosomal RNA", at positions 30 to 507 of the family's 1533-position model. The record is from RNAcentral.